This is a long non-coding RNA of Stomoxys calcitrans (stable fly), 1101 nucleotides long. RefSeq lists it as uncharacterized. The transcript has 2 exons. NCBI's taxonomy places the organism in Eukaryota, Metazoa, Arthropoda, Insecta, Diptera, Muscidae. The record is from RefSeq and is a predicted model, not a curated record.
GUUUGGAAUGACAUAUAUUGAAGCUGAACUUUGUGCCUCUGUGUGUGUGUUUUUUUUUAUUAAAUUGUGGGCGAAAACUUAUAAACGCCCUCAGGAAGAAACCACAUCUGUGAGGUUCAGCGUAAAGUCUUGUCGGGAGUAAAUUGCCAGCGUAGUUUGAUAGGGAGGAAAAUUGGAAUCAUCUGUCCCCUGUCGUGGUUGCGACUGCUCCAGGGUUCGGUCCAUCAUCUGGCAAUCAUUAAGGCAGGCUAUAUAUGACCAAAACGUCCAAGUUCGGAUCCUAAAGGUUGAAUAGACGAAAACCCAUUUGAGUGGAAGUUCAGGUAAAAUUAGACGUAAUCAACUUACCGUGGCGGAAAAAUUGUGUUCGGGCAAUUGCUGCACACAUGCGCCAGCGGCCUAGGCAGAGAACCCACCGGGCGAAAAGCGCUGGAAUGAGAUAGAAUACCAAUGAAAUAUUUACUAAAGCCAGCAAAAGAAUAAUUGUCAUAAACCAAAAGAAAAAAAAAAAACAAAAAAAGUAUAUUCUUUAAAUCCACUAAAAAGAAAAAAAUUGCCUUAAAUUGAAAAAAAAAAAAAAAACCUUAGACUUUGGGUUAAGUGUAUGUUUGUGAUGUUUGGUGGUGUUUUAUAAUGUCUUAUGUUUGUAGUUACUAGUUUUAAGUAUUUAUGCGUGUAAAAGUGUUUAAUGCCAGAAAUGUUAAAUUGUUGGUGAGCGCAGGGUUUACAAGGAAACCAUAUAGGCCAAAAUUGAAAGUUUGAUGUGAUAUGAUUUUUAUGAUACCAAUUUAGAGAGCUCUCUCAAUUAGGAAUUUGUUAGUUUUUUUUUGGUGUGCUUUGGAGUGAAAAUCAAAAGGCUCCAAGUGUCUAUAUGAUUUUUAUUUAAUGUGAAUUCGUGCCAAAUGGCUCACAAAAGAUAGAGUAAAGAUCUGCUGGUGUUAGAAGCUUCUAGGUUGUAUAUAUUUUUUUUUUGUGUGUGUUAUUUUGUAAAAAAAAAAAAAAAAAAGAAAAGGUUUAUUGUAAUGUGUUAAUGUUAGGCUAUUUAAGGACUUUUAUAAACCAAACCAAAUGUAAAAAUUUUAUGUCUAUGUGAAAAUCUAA